GCCGGGCGUGGUGGCGCAUGCCUGUAAUCCCAGCUACUUGGGAGGCUGAGGCAGGAGAAUCACUAGAACCUGGGAGGCGGAGGUGGCAGUGAGCUGAGAUCGCGCCACUGCACUCCAGCCUGGGCGACAGAGUGAGACUCGGUCUCAA
This is a non-coding RNA of Pan troglodytes (chimpanzee), 148 nucleotides long. It matches the Rfam family "Metazoan signal recognition particle RNA". Rfam says of the family: The signal recognition particle (SRP) is a universally conserved ribonucleoprotein. It is involved in the co-translational targeting of proteins to membranes. The eukaryotic SRP consists of a 300-nucleotide 7S RNA and six proteins: SRPs 72, 68, 54, 19, 14, and 9. The record is from Rfam. Lineage: Eukaryota; Metazoa; Chordata; Mammalia; Primates; Hominidae.